AGGGGAGUAGCUCAAUUGGUUAGAGCACUGGUUUCCAAAACCAGGGGUUGCGAGUUCGAGUCCCGCCUCCCCUGC
RNAcentral lists this transfer RNA (75 nucleotides) under Rosistilla oblonga. Its description in RNAcentral is "Planctomycetes bacterium CA51 tRNA-Trp". It matches the Rfam family "tRNA". Rfam says of the family: Transfer RNA (tRNA) molecules are approximately 80 nucleotides in length. Lineage: Bacteria; Pseudomonadati; Planctomycetota; Planctomycetia; Pirellulales; Pirellulaceae. The record is from RNAcentral.